RNAcentral lists this ribosomal RNA (489 nucleotides) under uncultured bacterium. RNAcentral describes it as "bacterial SSU rRNA". It matches the Rfam family "Bacterial small subunit ribosomal RNA", at positions 28 to 514 of the family's 1533-position model. The record is from RNAcentral.
GAUGAACGCUAGCGGCAGGCCUAAUACAUGCAAGUCGAGGGGCAGCGCGGUAGCAAUACUGGCGGCGACCGGCGCACGGGUGCGUAACACGUAUGCAACCUACCUUCAACUGGAGGAUAGCCCGGGGAAACUCGGAUUAAUACUCCAUAACACAGGGAUCCCGCAUGGGAAUAUUGUUAAAGCUACGGCGGUUGAAGGUGGGCAUGCGUUCGAUUAGCUAGUUGGUGUAGGUAACGGCUCACCAAGGCUACGAUCGAUAGGGGGUCUGAGAGGAUGAUCCCCCACACUGGUACUGAGAUACGGACCAGACUCCUACGGGAGGCAGCAGUAGGGAAUAUUGGUCAAUGGGCGCAAGCCUGAACCAGCCAUGCCGCGUGCAGGAAGAAGGCCCUCUGGGUUGUAAACUGCUUUUGAUAGGGAACAAAUGCCACUUGCGAGUGGAGCUGAGUGUACCUAUAGAAUAAGCACCGGCUAACUCCGUGCCAGCAG